Molecule: small nuclear RNA, 122 nt
Filed under: Peromyscus maniculatus bairdii (prairie deer mouse)
Lineage: Eukaryota; Metazoa; Chordata; Mammalia; Rodentia; Cricetidae
Description: U12 minor spliceosomal RNA (ENSPEMG00000004458.2)
Rfam family: U12 minor spliceosomal RNA
About the family: Although the U12 sequence is very divergent from that of U2, the two are functionally analogous.
Source: RNAcentral
ACAGCACAGGGUGAUGCCUGAGUCCCCAUUGCUGACGUGAGAAGAAUUUUUGAGUGGGUAAAGGUUGCUCCCUAAGGCGACCCACCUACCUUGCAGGAUGCCUGGGUGUGGUAGUCUGCCCG